RNAcentral lists this long non-coding RNA (235 nucleotides) under Manihot esculenta (cassava). RNAcentral describes it as "long non-coding RNA (MESC_LNC003510)". Lineage: Eukaryota; Viridiplantae; Streptophyta; Magnoliopsida; Malpighiales; Euphorbiaceae. The record is from RNAcentral.
UCCAAGCUAACUCUGUGCCAGGCCGUAGCAUGGGGUCCUGGUCUUCCUGUCAUAACAUACAUUACUUACCAUUACCCCAGGGCCUCCUCUGGGCUCCUGGUCUUCGAGUCCCAUAACCGUGCCAGGCCGUAGAAUGGGGUCCUGGUCUUUCCUUACUCUGUGCCAGGCCGUAGAAUGGGGUCCUGGUCUUCCUGUCAUGGACUAAUUGGGUCAUCCAAUAUUCACCCACAUCAAC